This is a long non-coding RNA of Pongo pygmaeus (Bornean orangutan), 11190 nucleotides long. RefSeq lists it as uncharacterized. The transcript has 4 exons. NCBI's taxonomy places the organism in Eukaryota, Metazoa, Chordata, Mammalia, Primates, Hominidae. The record is from RefSeq and is a predicted model, not a curated record.
CCAUGUUGGCCAGGCUGGUCUUGAACUCCUGACCUCAGGUGAUCCACCCACCUUGGCCACCCAAAGUGCUGGGAUUAGAGGCAUGAGCCACUGCGCCUGGCCUAUGAUCGUCUGUUUAUAGCAAUAAAUGAUCUAGCCACAAGAUGUCCUCAUAAACUAAUAAUACACAUCGAGCAGGAAUAAGGUGUAAACUUAACCUCAUUCACACAUUUAUGUGAUUCUUUAUAGCAGGAAUUGGCAAUGUAAAAAAUGAAUGAAGUUUAAUCCCUGCUCUUAGCGGGUUCAGUGUCUAAAGGAGGAGACAGUACAUAAACUGCAGUGGAAGAAACUGUUGUAGACAGAAUAAAUACAGGUUUCUUGGAGUAAAGAUAUCUAACUUUUAAAAGUGUGUAUUUCCAGGGAAAAGACAUUAGGAAAGGCUUCCUGGAGAACGACGUCUGAGUCUUGAAGAAUAGGCAGGAGUUAUCCAGGUGAAGAUAAGGGAAAAAGCCAGGCAGUUGAAGAAAUAGAACUACAUACGAGCAGCUUGUAGACAGCAAAGACAUGACUGUAAGCUUCCUGAGCCCUCACCAGAAGCAAGCACCCCACUUCUUGUACAGCCUGCAGAAUUAUGGGAAACGUUCCCCCCAUCCCAAGGCAAAAACGCCCUUAAGAUGUAUUCUGGAGAAUAAGGACCAAUUUGACCGUCAGACGCUAAGAAAGAAUUGACUUAUAUUCUUCUGCAGUACCGCCUGGCCACGAUAUCCUCUUCAAGGGGGAGAAACCUGGCCUCCUGAGGGAAGUAUAAAUUAAAACACCAUCUUACAGCUAGACCUCUUCUGUAGAAAGGAGGGCAAAUGGAGUGAAGUGCCAUAUGUGCAAACUUUCUUUUCAUUAAGAGACAACUCACAAUUAUGUAAAAAGUGUGGUUUAUGCCCUACAGGAAGCCCACAGAGUCUACCUCCCUAUCCCAGCAUCCCCCCGACUCCUUCCCCAACUAAUAAGGACCCCCCUUUUACCCAAAGGUCCAAAGGAGGUAGACAAAGGGAUAAACAAUGAACCAAACAGUGCCAAUAUUCCCCGAUUACGCCCCCUCCAAGCAGUGGGAGGAGCAGAAUUCGGCCCAGCCAGAGUGCAUGUACCUUUUUCUCUCUCAGACUUAAAGCAAAUUAAAAUAGACCUAGGUAAAUUCUCAGAUAACCCUGAUGGCUAUACUGAUGUUUUACAAGGGUUAGGACAAUCUUUUGAUCUGACAUGGAGAGAUAUAAUGUUACUGCUAAAUCAGACACUAACCCCAAAUGAGAGAAGUGCCGCCAUAACUGCAGCCCGAGAGUUUGGUGAUCUCUGGUAUCUCAGUCAGGUCAAUGAUAGGAUGACAACAGAGGAAAGAGAACGAUUCCCCACAGGCCAGCAGGCAGUUCCCAGUGUAGACCCUCAUUGGGACACAGAAUCAGAACAUGGAAAUUGGUGCCGCAGACAUUUGCUAACUUGUGUGCUAGGACUAAGGAAAACUAGGAAGAAGCCUAUGAAUUAUUCAGUGAUGUCCACUAUAACACAGGGGAAGGAAGAAAAUCCUACUGCCUUUCUGGUGAGACUAAGGGAGGCACUGAGGAAGCAUACCUCUCUGUCACCUGACUCUAUUGAAGGCCAACUAAUCUUAAAGGAUAAGUUUAUCAGUCAGCUGCAGACAUUAGAAAAAAACUUUAAAAGUCCGCCUUAGGCCCGGAGCAAAACUUAGACCCUAUUGAACUUGGCAACCUCGGUUUUUUAUAAUAGAGAUCAGGAGGAGCAGGCAGAAUGGGACAAAUGGGAUAAAAAAAGGCCACCGCUUUAGUCCUGACCCUCAGGCAAGCCGACUUUGGAAGCUCUGGAAAAGGGAAAAGCUGGGCAAAUUGAAUGCCUAAUAGGGCUUGCUUCCAGUGUGGUCUACAAGGACACUUUAAAAAAGACUGUCCAAGUAGAAAUCAGCCGCCCCCUCGUCCAUGCCCCUUAUGUCAAGGGAAUCACUGGAAGGCCCAUUGCCCCAGGGGACGAAGGUCCUCUGAGUCAGAAGCCACUAACCAGAUGAUCCAGCAGCAGGACUGAGGGUGCCCGGGGCAAGCGCCAGCCCAUGCCAUCACACUCACAGGGCCCCGGGUAUGCUUGACCAUUGAGGGCCAGGAGGUUAACUGUCUCCUGGACACUGGCAUGGCCUUCUCAGUCUUACUCUCCUGUCCCAGACAACUGUCCUCCAGAUCUGUCAAUAUCCAAGGGGUCCUAGGACAGCCUAGAUACUUCUCCCAGCCACUAAGUUGUGACUGGGGAACUUUACUCUUUUCACAUGCUUUUCUAAUUACGCCUGAAAGCCCUACUCCCUUGUUAGGGAGAUAAAUUCUAGCAAAAGCAGGGGCCAUUAUAUAUCUGAACAUAGGAGAAGGAACACCUGUUUGUUGUCCCCUGCUUGAGGAAGGAAUUAAUCCUAAAGUCUGGGCAACAGAAGGACAAUAUGGAUGAGCAAAGAAUGCCCGUCCUAUUCAAGUUAAAGGAUUCCACCUCCUUUCCCUACCAAAGGCAGUGCCCCUUAGACCCGAGGCCCAACAAGGACUCCAAAAGAUCGUUAAGGACUUAAAAGCCCAAGGCCUAGUAAAACCAUGCAAUAGCCCCUGCAAUACUCCAAUUUUAGGAGUACAGAAACCCAACAGACAGUGGAGGUUAGUGCAAGAUCUCAGGAUUAUCAAUGAGGCUGUUCUUCCUCUAUACCCAGCUAUACCUAACCCUUGUCCUCUGCUUUCCCAAAAACCUCAGAAAGCAGAGUGGUUUACAGUCCUGGACCUUAAGGACGCCUUUUUCUGCAUCCCUGUACACCCUGACUCUCAAUUCUUGUUUGCCUUUGAAGACCCUUCGAACCCAACGUCUAAACUCACCUGGACUGUUUUACCCCAAGGGUUCAAGGAUAGCCCCCAUCUAUUUGGUCAGGCAUUAGCCCAAGACUUGAGCCAAUUCUCAUACCUGGACACUCUUGUCCUUCAGUACGGGGAUGAUUUAAUUUUAGCCACCCGAUCAGAAAUCUUGUGCCAUCAAGCCACCCAAGCACUCUUAAAUUUCCUUGCUACCUGUGGCUACAAGGUUUCCAAACAAAAGGCUCAGUUCUGCUCACAGCAGGUUAAAUACUAAGGGCUAAAAUUAUCCAAAGGCACCAGGGCCCUCAGUGAGGAAUGUAUCCAGCCUAUACUGGCUUAUCCUCACCCCAAAACCCUAAAGCAACUAAGAGGGUUCCUUGGCAUAACAAGCUUCUACCGAAUAUGGAUUCCCAGGUACAGCGAAAUAGCCAGGCCAUUAUACACACUAAUUAAGGAAACUCAGAAAGCCAAUACCCAUUUAGUAAGAUGGACACCUGAAGCAGAAGCGGCUUUCCAGGCCCUAAAGAAGGCCCUAACCCAAGCCCCAGUGGUAAGCUUGCCAAUGGGGCAAGACUUUUCUUUAUAUGUCACAAAAGAAACAGGAAUAGCUCUAGGAGUCCUUAUACAGGUCUGAGGGACCAGCUUGCAACCCGUGGCAUACCUGAGUAAGGAAAUUGACGUAGUGGCAAAGGGUUGGCCUCAUUGUUUACGGGUAGUGGCAGCAAUAGCAGUCUUAGUAUCUGAAACAGUUAAAAUAAUACAGGGAAGAGAUCUUACUGUGUGGACAUCUCAUGAUGUGAACGGCAUACUCACUGCUAAAGGAGACUUGUGGCUGUCAGACAACCGUUUACUUAAAUAUCAGGCUCUAUUACUUGAUGGGCCAGUGCUGUGACUGUGCACUUGUGCAACUCUUAACACAGCCACGUUUCUUCCAGACAAUGAAGAAAAGAUAGAACACAAAUGUUAACAAGUAAUUGCUCAAACUUAUGCUGCUCGAGGGGACCUUUUAGGGGUUCCCUUGACUGAUCCCAACCUCAACUUGUAUACUGAUGGAAGUUCCUUUGCAGAAAAAGGACUUUGAAAAGCGGGGUAUGCAGUGGUCAGUGAUAAUGGAAUACUUGAAAGUAAUCCCCUCACUCCAGGAACUAGUGCUCAGCUUGCAGAACUAAUAGCCCUCACUCGGGCACUAGAAUUAGGAGAAGGGAAAAGGGUAAAUAUAUAUACAGACUCUAAGUAUGCAUACCUAGUCCUCCAUGCCCAUGCAGCAAUAUAGAGAGAUGGGAGUUCCUAACUUCCGAGGGAACACCUAUCAAACAUCAGAAAGUCAUUAGGAGAUUACUAUUGGCUGUACAGAAACCUAAAGAGGUGGCAGUCUUACACUGCCAGGGUCACCAGAAAGGAAAGGAAAGGGAAAUAGAAAGGAACUGCCAAGCGGAUAUUGAAGCCUAAAGAGCGGCAAGGCAGGACCCUCCAUUAGAAAUGCUUAUAGAAGGACCCCCAGUCUUCUAUAAUUGUCCCUGUUUGUAGAUGACAUGAUUGUAUAUUUAGAAAACCCCAUCAUCUCAGCCCAAAAUCUCCUUGAGCUGAUAAGCAACUUCAGCAAAGUCUCAGGAUACAAAAUCAAUGUGCAAAAAUCACAAGCAUUCCUACACACCAGUAACAGAGAGCCAAAUCAUGAGUGAACUCCCAUUCACAAUUGCUUCAAAGAGAAUAAAAUACCUAGGAAUCCAACUUACAAGGGAUGUGAAGGACCUCUUCAAGGAGAACUACAAACCGCUGCUCAAUGAAAUAAAAGAGGACACAAACAAAUGGAAGAACAUUCCAUGCUCAUGGAUAGGAAGAAUCAAUAUCGUGAAAAUGGCCAUACUGCCCAAGGUAAUGUAUAGAUUCAAUGCCAUCCCCAUCAAGCUACCAAUGACUUUCUUCACAGAAAUGGAAAAAACUACUUUAAAGUUCAUAUGGAACCAAAAAAGAGCCUGCACUGCCAAGACAAUCCUAAGCCAAAAGAACAAAGCUGGAGGCAUCAUGCUACCUGACUUCAAACUAUACUACAAGACUACAGUAACCAAAACAGCAUGGUACUGGUACCAAAACAGAGAUAUAGACCAAUGGAACAGAACAGAGCCCUCAGAAAUAAUAUCACACAUCUACAACCAUCUGAUCUUUGACAAACCUGACAAAAACAAAAAAUGGGGAAAGGAUUCCCUUUUAAUAAAUGGUGCUGGGAAAACUGGCUAGCCAUAUGUAGAAAGCUGAAACUGGAUCCCUUCCUUACACCUUAUACAAAACUUAAUUCAAGAUGGAUUAAAGACUUAAAUGUUAGGCUUAAAACCAUAAAAACCCUAGAAGAAAACCUAGACAAUACCAUUCAGGACAUAGGCAUAGGCAAGGACUUCAUGUCUAAAACACCAAAAGCAAUGGCAACAAAAGCCAAAAUUGACAAAUGGGAUCUAAUUAAACUAAAGAGCUUCUGCACAGCAAAAGAAACUACCAUUAGAGUGAACAGGCAAACUACAGGAUGGGAGAAAAUUUUUACAAUCUACCCAUCUGACAAAGGGCUAAUAUCCAGAAUCUACAAAGAACUUCAACAAAUUUACAAGAAAAAAUCAAACAACCCCAUCAAAAAGUGGGCAAAGGAUAUGAACAGACAUUUCUCAAAAGAAGACAUUUAUGCAGCGAACAGACACAUGAAAAAAUGCUCACCAUCACUGGCCAUCAGAGAAAUGCAAAUCAAAACCACAAUGAGAUACCAUCUCACACCAGUUAGAAUGGCGAUCAUUAAAAAGUCAGGAAACAACAGGUGCUGGACAGGAUGUGGAGAAAUAGGAACACUUUUACACUGUUGGUGGGAUUGUAAACUAGUUCAACCAUUGUGGAAGACACUGUGGCGAUUCCUCAAGGAUCUAGACCUAGAAAUACCAUUUGACCCAGCAAUCCCAUUACUGGGUAUAUACCUAAAGGAUUAUAAAUCAUGCUGCUGUAAAGACACAUGCACAUGUAUGUUUACUGCAGCACUAUUCACAAUAGCAAAGACUUGGAACCAACCCAAAUGUCCAUCAAUGAUAGACUGGAUUAAGAAAAUGUGGCACAUAUACACCAUGAAAUACUAUGCAGCCAUAAAAAAGGAUGAGUUCAUGUCCUUUGUAGGGACAUGGAUGAAGCUGGAAACCAUCAUUCUCAGCAAACUAUUGCAAGGACACGAAACCAAAUACCGCAUGUUCUCACUCAUAGAUGGGAAUUGAACAAUGAGAACAUUUGGACACCGGGUGGGGAACAUCACACACCGGGGCCUGUCGUGGGGUGGGGGGAGGGGCGAGGGAUAGCAUUAGGAGAUAUACCUAAUGUAAAUGACGAGUUAAUGGGUGCAGCACACCAACAUGGCACAUGUAUACAUAUGUAACAAAACUGCACGUUGUGCACAUGUACCCUAGAACUUAAAGUAUAAUAAGAAAAUAAAAAAACAGUCACUCAGGGGCUGGGUGCACCGACUCAUGUCUGUAAUCCCAGCACUUUGGGAGGCCAAGGCAGUCAGAUCACUUGAGGUCAGGAGUUUGAGACUAGCUUGGCCAACAUGGUGAAACCCUGUCUCUACUAAAUAUACAAAAAAUAAAAAUUAGCUGGGCGUGGUGGCAGGCGCCUGUAAUCCCACCUACUCAGGAGGCUGACGCAGGAGAAUAACUUGAACACAGGAGGCAGACGCUGCACUGAGCUGAAAUCACGCAACUGCACUCCAGCCUGGGUGACAGAAUGAGACUCUAUCUCAAAAAAAAAAAAAAAAAAAAAUGGUGAACAAGUUCUGUCUAAUUCAAAGCUCAUUUAGGCCAGGGGCGGCGGCUCAAGCCUGCAGUCCCAGCACUUUGGGGGGCCAUGGCAUGCAGAUUACUUGAAGUUAGUUCAAGACCAGCCUGAUCAACAUGGUGAAAUGGUGAAACCCUGUGCCUACUAUAAAUACAAAAUUAGUUGGGCAUUGUGGUGCACCUGUAAUCCCAGCUACUCAAGAGGCUGAGGCAGGAGAAUCACUUGAACCCAGGAGGCAGAGGUUGCAGUGAGCCAAGAUCGGGCCAUUGCGUUCCAGCCUGGGUGCCAGAGCAAGACUCUGUCUCAGAUAAAAAACAAACAAACCCCACAAAACUUAUUUAAAGGUUACGUAUACAACAAGGUAAAGGAAUCAGGAAAUGAGAUGUUGUAAAGGAAGUUAUAAAACAUAAUUUUUUUGUGUGUGUGGUAAGAAAGCUUAAAAGAGAAAUAAUUUUAUAUGAGAAAGAAUACUGUAUGGUAAAUUUAGUCCUAAGAUAAAAGUUCAAGCAUGUCAUGAAUGGUCUGUGUAAGUCACAAUAAGAGGAUUUGUUUUAAAAAAAAUUGUAUAUGAUCAUGUUGUUUACAAUUAAAAGGAAAUUAUAAUGCUCUUUCUAGAGACUGGGCUUUAUGUUAAAAAACAAAGACACAUAUACACUAAAUUAUUGGUUAGAAAAAUAAAAUUUUCUUAAGAGGUUAACUUCCUCUUAAUAAAUUAUAAGAGAAUUUGCCUGCGAAUGGUGGCUUCUGCCUGUAAUCCCAGCACUUUGGGAGGCCAAGACAGGCGGAUCACUUGAGGUCAGGAGUUGUAGACCAGCCUGGCCAACGUAGUGACACCUUGUCUCUAACAAAAAUACAAAAAUUAGCCAGGCCUGGUGGCAUGUGCCUGUAGUCCCAGCUACUUGGCAGGCUGAGGCACAAGAAUUGCUUGAACCCGAGAGGCAGAGGCUGCAGUGAGCCGAGAUUGCACCAGUGCACUCCAAACUGGGCAACAGAGCGAGACUCUAUCUCAAAAAAAAAAUUUAUAAGAUAAUUUAAUAUUUUUUUUAAAACUGAAAGUUCAAUUUUUAUUGCAUCUUGCCAUUUUUUUUUCAGCUUUCUCUCCCCUUUAAAAAGGCACGUUGUCUUAAAGGUCUAAAGGAAGUGUUUUCUUCCAACAUCAUGUUCUGUGCAUUGCAGAAGGUCUUUUCUUUUGCUUUUUGGUAACUGACCUAACAGAGUUUACAUUUUGUUGAAAUAAUUCCUAUGUUUAGGAAAAAACUGAGAUUAGAAAAAAUUUUAAUUAACAUGAUUACAGCUGGGUAUUUUCCUGUAUGUGCUUUUAAAGUCUUUGUGACAUAAGGUUACAGGGCUUUGACUCCUGGGUCUAAAAAGGACACCAAGUCCUCCUAAAUCUUAAACACUGACAGCAACUGAAGCUGUCAUCUUCAGGCUCCGUAGAAGAUGCCAAUCAAAAUAAACUGCAUUCCUGAGAUACAGGGCCAGAAAUUAAAGGCAUUCAACUCCUCAAGGCCCAGAGACUAUCGAAGAAGAGGUGAGCACGUGAGACUGUAAGGUCCAAAUUUGAAAGAUAAAAUAAGUUCAGUUUCUCUAUAAAUUAAUGAUUAAUGUCAAAGGCACAAUGAUGCAAGAUCAGCUUAUGGGCCCCUGUAAUCAGAUUAACAAGGUUUUCUUGACACAUUAACUGACUCCUUAAUAAAGGUUAUAAAGGCUUAUGGAAGUUAUAUCUUUUGUUUUCUUUUUUUUUUUUUUGAGAUGGAGUCUCGCCCUGUCACCCAGGCUGGAACCACAGUGGCUCAAUCUCAGCUCACUGUAACCUCCGCCUCCUGGCUUCAAGCGAUUCUCCUGCCUCAGCCUCCCGAGUAGCUGGGACUACAGAUGCGUGCCACCACGCUCGGCUAAUUUUUUUUAGUAGAGGAGGGGUUUAACCAUGUUGGCCAGGAUGGUCUUGAUCUCCUGACCACCUGAUCCACCCACCUCGGCCUCCCAAAGUGCUGGGAUUAUAGGUGUGAGCCACCACGCCCAGUUAGAAGUUACAUCUUAUGGUCAAGUUUAAAAUUUUAUAGAUUGUUUAUAAAAUUUUGAAAACAAAUUUAAUUAGCUUCAUGCUGUUUUUAUUAGGGCUUAUUGUUUGGAAAGUUAAGUCUCCUCUCUCAAAGAAUGAAGGUUUUCACCUUUUUAUGAAAUCCUUGUUAUCACUUUGGUUAAAUGAAUGAUUUAUUUUAUAAUGACCUGUGAUCCUAUUUUUGUGAUAUCAGGUGUUUUAAACAUUUGAUAUUUGACAAACUUUCCAAAAUCAAAUUAUAAAUUAUGUCUUUCUGACCUAAUUAGUCCUUUAAGAUAUUAGGUUCCCUAAAGUCCAAAAAUGGCAUAAUUUGGCUUAUUUGGUACAAAAAUUACACAGGAAGCACUGUCGAAUAUGUGACAGUGUUUGGCUUUGAGAUGUAUUUGUAUAAAUAUGUUAUUGGUAUGUGUUCCAAAACUAUGGGAAAUUCCUGUAAUUCUGAUAUGACCUAGUGUACAUUAUCAGUAAUAAUCAUAAUUGUUACGUUAAAAUUAUUGUGUGCUACAGAGGAGAGGUAACAAAUUUCCUUGUCAAUUGUGUCUUUGACUAUGGCGGCCCUAAAACUUUAAUCAUCCAGGCACAAUUGUUGUGUUGUUUUGAUCCUCUUUAGAAAGUGCUUUUUUUUGUUGUUGCUGUUGUUGUUUUUUGAGAUUCAUUAAGUGUUUUAUUCUUGAUAAUGUUUUAUUUGUUAAAUUUGUUUUUUGUAAUUAUACUUUAAGUUCUAGGGUACAUGUGCACAAUGUGCAGGUUUGUUAUGUAUACAUGUGCCAUGUUGGUUUGCUGCACCCAUUAAUUCGUCAUUUACAUUAGGUGUUUCUCCUAGUGCUAUCCCUCCCCCAUCCACCCACCCCACGACAGGCCCCGGUGUGUGAUGUUCCCCGCCCUGUGUCCAAAUGUUCUCAUUGUUCAAUUCCCAACUAUGAGUGAGAACAUGUGGUGUUUGGUUUUCUGUCCUUGUGAUAGUUUGCUGAGAAUGAUGGUUUCCAGCUUCAUCCAUGUCCCUACAAAGGACAUGAACUCAUCCUUUUUUAUGGCUGCAUAGUAUUCCAUGGUGUAUAUGUGUCAUUUUUUCUUAAUCCAGUCUAUCAUUGAUGGACAUUUGGGUUGGUUCCAAGUCUUUGCUAUGGUGAAUAGUGCUGCAAUAAACAUACGUGUGCAUGUGUCUUUAUCGUAGCAUGAUUUAUAAUCCUUUGGGUAUAUACCCAGUAAUGGGAUUGCUGGGUCAAAUGGUAUUUCUAGUUCUGGAUCCUUGAGGAAUCGCCACAGUGUCUUCCACAAUGGUUGACCUAGUUUACACUCCCACCAACAGUAUAAAAACAUAACUAUUCCUCCACAUCCUCUCCAGCACCUGUUGUUUCCUCUUGAAUGCAGGUCUCCAAUAACUUUGGAGAUUGUUACAUGAGAAUAGAGGAAAAACUUUCAGAACUCAUGGAGAGCUAAAAUGCUCAUGAAUAUCAAGCAGAAUAGGAAUUAACUACAGGGACUGAACUAAUCUUUUUGACUUUUUGCUUAAAACAUUGCUGAUCUUUUGCUUUGUUUUUCAGAGCCUUGAAACUUCUUUUGAGCUAUUGACAGCUUUUAACAAUUUAGUAUAAUCCAAUCAACAAAAUUUGGAGCAUAUUUGUUUCUCUCUACUUGAUUUCUCCAGAAUUUGUAAACUAUUUGUGUCACUGAAAACAGCUGUGCUUUUGUAAACCCCUGCAAACUGAAGCUAGACAACUUAAACUUCAGAAGAAAAUAACAGCAACCUAUUUACACACAUAAGCCACUUUCACACCUGCGUACUGAUGUAUGGACUUCAGAAUAAUGUGGCCUAUGUAUAUUUUCCAGGAUUGUUCUUUUGUUUGUUGUUUUCACCCUUCCUCCCCCUAUUUUCUCUUCACAGGACAUGGGAGUUCACAGCCGUCUAAAAAUUAGCUUUCUUAAUAACUUGGGACUUACCUGUCUAGGAAUAAACCAUCCUAGCAUGAGAGAUCAGAUGAAAUCUGGGACCAAAGACUCGUUUUUCUUCCAAAAAGCUUUCUCCAAAAAUUUUUUUUUAAAAAAAGAAAAGGGGGCAAAUGUAAAGGAAAAUAUCUUGGGCCCCCAAAUCACUAAGUUAAAAGGAAAAUUCAAGCUAGGAACUGCUUAGGGCAAACCUGCCUCCCAUUCUAUUCAAAGUCAUCCCUCUGCUCACUGAGAUAAAUGUGUAUCUGACUGCCUCCUUAGGAAGGGUAAAUCAGAAACUCAAAAGAAUGCAACCAUUUGUCUCCCACCUACCCGUGACCUGGAAGCCCCCUUCCCGCUUCAAGUUGUCCUGCCUUUCCAAACCCAACCAGUGUUCAUUUUACAUAUAUUGAUUGAUGUCUUAUAUCUCCCUAAAAUGUAUAAAACCAAGCUGUGUUCUGACCACCUUGGGCACAUGUUGUCAGGACCUCCUGAGGCUGUGUCACUGCAUGCGUAUCCUCAACCUUGGCAAAAUAAACUUUCUAA